UACGUAGGGUGCGAGCGUUGUCCGGAAUUAUUGGGCGUAAAGAGCUUGUAGGUGGUUUGUCGCGUCUGCUGUGAAAAUCCGAGGCUCAACCUCGGACUUGCAGUGGGUACGGGCAGACUAGAGUGUGGUAGGGGAGACUGGAAUUCCUGGGUGUAGCGGUGGAAUGCGCAGAUAUCAGGAGGAACACCCAUAGCGAAGGCAGCUUGCUGGGACGUUACUGAC
Molecule: ribosomal RNA, 222 nt
Filed under: uncultured bacterium
Lineage: Bacteria
Description: partial 16S ribosomal RNA
Rfam family: Bacterial small subunit ribosomal RNA
Source: RNAcentral